Molecule: non-coding RNA, 341 nt
Organism: Paramuricea clavata
Lineage: Eukaryota; Metazoa; Cnidaria; Anthozoa; Malacalcyonacea; Plexauridae
Source: the annotation of a GenBank genome assembly
AAGAAGCUCUCACGACUCUGGCUCACGUGGGAAGACCAGCGACGGACGUACAUGAAGCGGAUAUUUAUAAAUUCGGCUUCAAACUCGCUCGAGAAAUCGCGGAGUUGCGCGGCGUAUGCGCGCUAGCUAUGCAAAAACGGCGCAAGGUGUGGGCCAAGGUCGCGAUGGCCACGCGGGACCUCGAGGAGGAUAUGUUCGACAGCCUCGCGGGAUACGAGGAGGUCACGUUCCGCAGGAAACACGCACACGCAGGUAAUUACGAUUGUGAUUAACAUAGAUAAUGAGUUAUAUUGUUAUUCUAAUGAGUUUCACAUCCAUCUUCCCUUCGAUAGGCUAUGACU